RNAcentral lists this ribosomal RNA (253 nucleotides) under uncultured bacterium. RNAcentral describes it as "partial 16S ribosomal RNA". It matches the Rfam family "Bacterial small subunit ribosomal RNA", at positions 524 to 776 of the family's 1533-position model. The record is from RNAcentral.
UACGUAGGGUGCGAGCGUUGUCCGGAAUUAUUGGGCGUAAAGGGCUCGUAGGCGGUUUGUCACGUCGGGAGUGAAAACUCGGGGCUUAACCCCGAGCCUGCUUCCGAUACGGGCAGACUAGAGUGCGGUAGGGGAGACUGGAAUUCCUGGUGUAGCGGUGAAAUGCGCAGAUAUCAGGAGGAACACCGGUGGCGAAGGCGGGUCUCUGGGCCGUAACUGACGCUGAGGAGCGAAAGCAUGGGGAGCGAACAGG